GAUGAACGCUGGCGGCGUGCCUAAUACAUGCAAGUCGAGCGAACAGACGAGGAGCUUGCUCCUUUGACGUUAGCGGCGGACGGGUGAGUAACACGUAGGUAACCUACCUAUAAGACUUGGAUAACUUCGGGAAACCGGAGCUAAUACCGGAUAAUAUUUCGAACCGCAUGGUUCGAUAGUGAAAGAUGGCUUUGCUAUCACUUAUAGAUGGACCUGCGCCGUAUUAGCUAGUUGGUAAGGUAACGGCUUACCAAGGCAACGAUACGUAGCCGACCUGAGAGGGUGAACGGCCACACUGGAACUGAGACACGGUCCAGACUCCUAGGGGAGGCAGAAGUAGGGAAUCUUCGGAAAUGGGCGAAAGACUGACGGAGCAACGCCGCGUGAGUGAUGAAGGUCUUCGGAUCGUAAAACUCUGUUAUUAGGGAAGAACAAACGUGUAAGUAACUGUGCACGUCUUGACGGUACCUAAUCAGAAAGCCACGGCUAACUACGUG
This 497-nucleotide ribosomal RNA is filed under the name uncultured bacterium. RNAcentral's name for it is "partial 16S ribosomal RNA". It matches the Rfam family "Bacterial small subunit ribosomal RNA", at positions 28 to 507 of the family's 1533-position model. The record is from RNAcentral.